CCGAGUUUACAACUCCCAAACCCCUGUGAACAUACCACUAUGUUGCCUCGGCGGAUCAGCCCGCGCCCCGGUAAAACGGGACGGCCCGCCAGAGGAUCCACUAAACUCUGUUUCUAUAUGUAACUUCUGAGUAACAAACCAUAAAUAAAUCA
RNAcentral lists this unclassified non-coding RNA (152 nucleotides) under soil metagenome. RNAcentral's name for it is "partial internal transcribed spacer 1". The record is from RNAcentral.